AGCAGCCGCGGUAAUUCCAGCUCCAAUAGCGUAUAUUAAAGUUGUUGCAGUUAAAAAGCUCGUAGUUGAAUUUCGGAAUUUUUUUAUCGGUUGAAUCAACAGGUUUAUACUGAUUUUAAGAAUUUCUACCUUCUGGAGAACCUUAAUGUCAUUUAUUUGAUGUUUUGGGAAACCAGGACUGUUACCUUGAAAAAAUUAGAGUGUUUAAAGCAGGCUUAUGUCUGAAUAUAUUAGCAUGGAAUAAUGAAAUAGGACGGCAUGGUUCUAUUUUGUUGGUUUCUAGGAUCACCGUAAUGAUUAAUAGGGAUAGUUGGGGGCAUUAGUAUUCAAUUGUCAGAGGUGAAAUUCUUGGAUUUAUUGAAGACUAACUUCUGCGAAAGCAUUUGCCAAGGAUGUUUUCAUUAAUCAAGAACGAAAGUUAGGGGAUCGAAGACGAUCAGAUACCGUCGUAGUCUUAACCAUAAACUAUGCCGACUAGGAAUCGGACGAAGUUAAUUUUUUAAUGACUCGUUCGGCGCCUUACG
This 524-nucleotide ribosomal RNA is filed under the name uncultured Pacisporaceae. RNAcentral describes it as "SSU rRNA". It matches the Rfam family "Eukaryotic small subunit ribosomal RNA", at positions 569 to 1092 of the family's 1831-position model. Lineage: Eukaryota; Fungi; Glomeromycota; Glomeromycetes; Diversisporales; Pacisporaceae. The record is from RNAcentral.